UACAGAGGUCCCGAGCGUUGUUCGGAUUCACUGGGCGUAAAGGGUGCGUAGGCGGGUCUUUAAGUCAGGGGUGAAAUCCUGGAGCUCAACUCCAGAACUGCCUUUGAUACUGAAGAUCUUGAGUUCGGGAGAGGUGAGUGGAACUGCGAGUGUAGAGGUGAAAUUCGUAGAUAUUCGCAAGAACACCAGUGGCGAAGGCGGCUCACUGGCCCGAUACUGACGCUGAGGCACGAAAGCAUGGGGAUCAAACAGG
Molecule: ribosomal RNA, 253 nt
Filed under: uncultured bacterium
Lineage: Bacteria
Description: partial 16S ribosomal RNA
Rfam family: Bacterial small subunit ribosomal RNA
Source: RNAcentral